GCCUUCGUGGUGUAGUGGUCAGCAUGCUCGACGUGUGUUCGAGAGAUCAGUGGUUCGAGUCCCGGCGGGGGCA
This is a non-coding RNA of Stegodyphus mimosarum, 73 nucleotides long. The record is from Rfam. Lineage: Eukaryota; Metazoa; Arthropoda; Arachnida; Araneae; Eresidae.